RNAcentral lists this transfer RNA (69 nucleotides) under Nothocercus nigrocapillus. RNAcentral describes it as "tRNA-Asp". Lineage: Eukaryota; Metazoa; Chordata; Aves; Tinamiformes; Tinamidae. The record is from RNAcentral.
GAGAUGUUAGUAAACUCAUUACAUGGUCUUGUCAAGGCCAAAUCACAGGCUAAGCUCCCGUACAUCUCA